RNAcentral lists this ribosomal RNA (504 nucleotides) under uncultured bacterium. Its description in RNAcentral is "bacterial SSU rRNA". It matches the Rfam family "Bacterial small subunit ribosomal RNA", at positions 30 to 518 of the family's 1533-position model. The record is from RNAcentral.
UUGAACGCUGGCGGCGUGCUUAACACAUGCAAGUCGAACGCGAAAGGGACUUCGGUCCUGAGUAAAGUGGCGCACGGGUGAGUAACGCGUGGAUAAUCUGCCCUUAUGAUCGGGAUAACAGUUGGAAACGGCUGCUAAUACCGGAUACGCUCAAAAUGAACUUUUUGAGGAAAGAUGGCCUCUGCUUGCAUGCUAUCACGUAAGGAUGAGUCCGCGUCCCAUUAGCUUGUUGGCGGGUAACGGCCACCAAGGCAACGAUGGGUAGCCGAUUUGAGAGGAUGAUCGGCCACACUGGAACUGAAACACGGUCCAGACUCCUACGGGAGGCAGCAGUGGGGAAUAUUGCGCAAUGGGCGAAAGCCUGACGCAGCGACGCCGCGUGAGGGAUGAAGGUUUUCGGAUCGUAAACCUCUGUCAGAAGGGAAGAAACUACGUUGUGCUAAUCAGCAGCGUACUGACGGUACCUUCAAAGGAAGCACCGGCUAACUCCGUGCCAGCAGCCGC